RNAcentral lists this ribosomal RNA (465 nucleotides) under uncultured bacterium. RNAcentral describes it as "partial 16S ribosomal RNA". It matches the Rfam family "Bacterial small subunit ribosomal RNA", at positions 28 to 504 of the family's 1533-position model. The record is from RNAcentral.
GACGAACGCUGGCGGCGUGCUUAACACAUGCAAGUCGAACGGAAAGGCCCUGCUUUUGUGGGGUGCUCGAGUGGCGAACGGGUGAGUAACACGUGAGUAACCUGCCCUUGACUUUGGGAUAACUUCAGGAAACUGGGGCUAAUACCGGAUAGGAGCUCCUGCUGCAUGGUGGGGGUUGGAAAGUUUCGGCGGUUGGGGAUGGACUCGCGGCUUAUCAGCUUGUUGGUGGGGUAGUGGCUUACCAAGGCUUUGACGGGUAGCCGGCCUGAGAGGGUGACCGGCCACAUUGGGACUGAGAUACGGCCCAGACUCCUACGGGAGGCAGCAGUGGGGAAUAUUGCACAAUGGGCGGAAGCCUGAUGCAGCAACGCCGCGUGCGGGAUGACGGCCUUCGGGUUGUAAACCGCUUUCGCCUGUGACGAAGCGUGAGUGACGGUAAUGGGUAAAGGAGCACCGGCUAACUAC